Non-coding RNA from Potamilus streckersoni, 73 nucleotides. The record is from the annotation of a GenBank genome assembly. NCBI's taxonomy places the organism in Eukaryota, Metazoa, Mollusca, Bivalvia, Unionida, Unionidae.
GCUCGGGUGGCCUAGUGGUUAGAGCGUCCGCCUCUGAUGCAGGAGAUCACGAAUUCGAACCCUUGCCGAGGCA